RNAcentral lists this long non-coding RNA (1386 nucleotides) under Zostera marina. RNAcentral describes it as "long non-coding RNA (ZMAR_LNC005345)". Lineage: Eukaryota; Viridiplantae; Streptophyta; Magnoliopsida; Alismatales; Zosteraceae. The record is from RNAcentral.
UUUCAAACUCAUAUACUUUUAUUAUUACCUUUUCCAAGACUUAGAAUUAAAAUUCAAUAUGCAAACUACAAGAAAACAGACGGACUAUUGAUGAAGGAAAUAUGUCACCAAUAAUCCACUAUCAUUAGAAUCAAAAUCGUAACUUAAACACAACAACCAUCACCAAUAGACCGUCACCAAAAAACACUUCAAAUUAAAAUUCUCACAAACAAAAAAUAUCUAUGGUGGAUUUGAUGAUCAAUGCUGGCUGAUUUACUUUGAAUUGUGGAUUUUUUUUGGAUUAAAACCAGUUGACAAUUUAUUAAUUUCAAAACGUAACAAAAGUGAACAUGCUACUCCUCCAAACCCUAGAUAGACAUUUUCCUCCCAAUCCUAGAGCUUAUUUACAUAUUUUUAUUCCAUAUUUCCUAAUUUACAUAUCCCCUAUGCAUGUUGAUCCUUCGUAUCUUUAUAUAGGAGGUACUUUCAAGAUAUGAGUUGGGGAGAAAAACCUCGAUCGGCUCAAGUGUGGCCUUUCCCAUGUUUUAAUUAGGGAAAACCCAUCCCACAUCUUGAAUUUACCCCCUAUGAAACUACGUGAUUGGCAUAUGUGAUUCCUCCUGAAGUAGGUACCCCAUAUCCCAAGAGAUAGCUUCCUUCUUCUUCCCUCAUUUACCUUCCCUGUAAUAUAUGAUAGUUAGUGUUAUUACAAUUACUGAUUUAAAUAGGGUUCAGAUCAGCUUUGUUCAUCAUUUGAGAGAGGUUUGCGUUUUUCUUUGUUCAUCUUUGUUCAUCAUGUGGUUUCGUGAUCCUUUACCUAUCUUCUAUUUGGAUGGAGAUUUUCAAAUAUCUUGUGAUUAUUUUAGGGGAAAUCCUCAGAGAGGUUUGUUCUUGCUCGUCCACUAUACAUCUUUGGAAGCUUCCCUCUGAUGUACCUCUAUAUAUUUGAUGCGUAUUCACAAAGGUAGAACAAAUAACCUUGUGACUCUUUUGUCCCUCCACAUAGCCAACAAUCGGUGUCUUCUAAGAUAUCCCUUCUGGCCAACUCUGUGUUUGUUGUGAUCCUCUGCUCCCAACGUGCUCUGAGUAUCACUAUUUACAUAUUUUCAUUAAAUUUUCACCCAUAGGUACCCAAAAAAUAAAGAUUGAUUUGAAAUACCUCAUUUUUUAAUUCAGAUAAAAGUUGAAUGUCUGUUGAUUAUGAAUAAUCUUGUUGUUUUUGUAGGAUACUGAUAUCAUGUGGUUUCGUGAUCCUUUACCUAUCUUCUAUUUGGAUGGAGAUUUUCAAAUAUCUUGUGAUUAUUUUAGGGGAAAUCCUCUCGACAUAAAAAGCAAUAUUCCGAAUUCAGGUUUAAGUUAUGUGAAGUCUAACAAUCGAACUAUAGAAUUCUAUAAACUCUGGUAUGC